Molecule: ribosomal RNA, 372 nt
Filed under: uncultured bacterium
Lineage: Bacteria
Description: bacterial SSU rRNA
Rfam family: Bacterial small subunit ribosomal RNA
Source: RNAcentral
UACGUAGGUGGCAAGCGUUGUCCGGAUUUAUUGGGCGUAAAGGGAGCGUAGGCGGAUGUUUAAGUCAGUUGUGAAAGUUUAAGGCUCAACCUUGAAAUUGCAGUUGAUACUGGAUAUCUUGAGUACAUUGAAUGUGGGCGGAAUUCGUGGUGUAGCGGUGAAAUGCUUAGAUAUCACGAAGAACUCCAAUUGCGAAGGCAGCUCACAGUAAUGUAACUGACGCUGAUGCUCGAAAGUGUGGGUAUCAAACAGGAUUAGAUACCCUGGUAGUCCACACAGUAAACGAUGAAUACUCGCUGUUUGCGAUAUACAGUAUGCGGCCAAGCGAAAGCGUUAAGUAUUCCACCUGGGGAGUACGCCGGCAACGGUGAA